AGAGUUUGAUCAUGGCUCAGGAUGAAUGCUGGCGGCGUGCCUAAUACAUGCAAGUCGAGCGGUAAGGCCCUUCGGGGUACACGAGCGGCGGACGGCUGAGUAACGCGUGGGAACAUGCCCCAAAGUGAGGGAUAACGCACCGAAAGGUGUGCUAAUACCGCAUAUGGUCUUCGGGAUUUAAAGGAUUUAUCCGCUUUGGGAGUGGCCCGCGUACGAUUAGAUUGUUGGUGAGGUAACGGCUCACCAAGUCGACGAUCGUUAACUGGUCUGAGAGGAUGAUCAGUCAGACUGGAACUGAGACACGGUCCAGACUCCUACGGGAGGCAGCAGUAAGGAAUCUUCCACAAUGGGCGAAAGCCUGAUGGAGCAACGCCGCGUGCAGGAUGAAGGCCCUCGGGUCGUAAACUGCUUUUAUGAGUGAAGAAUAUGACGAUAACUCAUGAAUAAGCACCGGCUAACUACGUG
This 465-nucleotide ribosomal RNA is filed under the name uncultured bacterium. Its description in RNAcentral is "bacterial SSU rRNA". It matches the Rfam family "Bacterial small subunit ribosomal RNA", at positions 8 to 507 of the family's 1533-position model. The record is from RNAcentral.